This 1540-nucleotide ribosomal RNA is filed under the name Klebsiella pneumoniae. RNAcentral's name for it is "bacterial SSU rRNA". It matches the Rfam family "Bacterial small subunit ribosomal RNA". The record is from RNAcentral. Lineage: Bacteria; Pseudomonadati; Pseudomonadota; Gammaproteobacteria; Enterobacterales; Enterobacteriaceae.
AAAUUGAAGAGUUUGAUCAUGGCUCAGAUUGAACGCUGGCGGCAGGCCUAACACAUGCAAGUCGAGCGGUAGCACAGAGAGCUUGCUCUCGGGUGACGAGCGGCGGACGGGUGAGUAAUGUCUGGGAAACUGCCUGAUGGAGGGGGAUAACUACUGGAAACGGUAGCUAAUACCGCAUAACGUCGCAAGACCAAAGUGGGGGACCUUCGGGCCUCAUGCCAUCAGAUGUGCCCAGAUGGGAUUAGCUAGUAGGUGGGGUAACGGCUCACCUAGGCGACGAUCCCUAGCUGGUCUGAGAGGAUGACCAGCCACACUGGAACUGAGACACGGUCCAGACUCCUACGGGAGGCAGCAGUGGGGAAUAUUGCACAAUGGGCGCAAGCCUGAUGCAGCCAUGCCGCGUGUGUGAAGAAGGCCUUCGGGUUGUAAAGCACUUUCAGCGGGGAGGAAGGCGUUAAGGUUAAUAACCUUAGCGAUUGACGUUACCCGCAGAAGAAGCACCGGCUAACUCCGUGCCAGCAGCCGCGGUAAUACGGAGGGUGCAAGCGUUAAUCGGAAUUACUGGGCGUAAAGCGCACGCAGGCGGUCUGUCAAGUCGGAUGUGAAAUCCCCGGGCUCAACCUGGGAACUGCAUUCGAAACUGGCAGGCUAGAGUCUUGUAGAGGGGGGUAGAAUUCCAGGUGUAGCGGUGAAAUGCGUAGAGAUCUGGAGGAAUACCGGUGGCGAAGGCGGCCCCCUGGACAAAGACUGACGCUCAGGUGCGAAAGCGUGGGGAGCAAACAGGAUUAGAUACCCUGGUAGUCCACGCCGUAAACGAUGUCGAUUUGGAGGUUGUGCCCUUGAGGCGUGGCUUCCGGAGCUAACGCGUUAAAUCGACCGCCUGGGGAGUACGGCCGCAAGGUUAAAACUCAAAUGAAUUGACGGGGGCCCGCACAAGCGGUGGAGCAUGUGGUUUAAUUCGAUGCAACGCGAAGAACCUUACCUGGUCUUGACAUCCACAGAACUUUCCAGAGAUGGAUUGGUGCCUUCGGGAACUGUGAGACAGGUGCUGCAUGGCUGUCGUCAGCUCGUGUUGUGAAAUGUUGGGUUAAGUCCCGCAACGAGCGCAACCCUUAUCCUUUGUUGCCAGCGGUUAGGCCGGGAACUCAAAGGAGACUGCCAGUGAUAAACUGGAGGAAGGUGGGGAUGACGUCAAGUCAUCAUGGCCCUUACGACCAGGGCUACACACGUGCUACAAUGGCAUAUACAAAGAGAAGCGACCUCGCGAGAGCAAGCGGACCUCAUAAAGUAUGUCGUAGUCCGGAUUGGAGUCUGCAACUCGACUCCAUGAAGUCGGAAUCGCUAGUAAUCGUAGAUCAGAAUGCUACGGUGAAUACGUUCCCGGGCCUUGUACACACCGCCCGUCACACCAUGGGAGUGGGUUGCAAAAGAAGUAGGUAGCUUAACCUUCGGGAGGGCGCUUACCACUUUGUGAUUCAUGACUGGGGUGAAGUCGUAACAAGGUAACCGUAGGGGAACCUGCGGUUGGAUCACCUCCUUA